AGGGAUAAGCUUCCGGCCCUUGGAUCAGGUUUAAUGAGCUUGGACGGCUCAAAUCGUAAACAAUGAUAAACAGUGAUUUAACCCUUAUCUAACCCCAAUUCCUGAACUCAGGCGUGAAAAUGGAUCCUCAAUUCUUUCGAUUUGGCGCUCAGAGAAGAUCGGGAAGCGGAGUGAGAGAACGAUCAAACAGUCCGCUCAAGAGAGAGUAUCAACAACGAUCAAACAGUCCGAUCAGAUUAAGUCAAGGGUUUUCACCCUUUUCUAAGCCUCCAACCCCGAAUUCCCUAUCUCCCCGAUUCGUUCUGGAGAGUAUCAACAACGCUCAGAGAAUUCACCCGACCAAUUCUCAUCUCAAGCACCAUCUAUUUCUUCAACUAAUGGGAUGUUAGCAGUCCCCAUGAGAAAGAAACUAAUGAGAUGUCAGUGCCUCUGGAAUUAAAGACUUCUCGAACUCAAGCUAUCACUCAACACUGAAGUGGGGUAGGUUCUCAUAUGUUGCCUAUUCGUUUGUACUGAUUUGCUCACUAGUAUUUGUUGCCUAAUUUUGAGCAGCUACAGGACGUGACAAGAGAUUCCAAGGUUGAUGAUACUGAGGUUGAAGGGAAGGAUCACAAAGAAUCAGAUGUAUCAAACCCAGAGGAUGAUGUUAAAGAAGCUGAAAGCUAGAUGGGUCUUAUUGUGGAGCAGACAUCAUUUAUGUUUCUUCCUUAAGGAAAGAUGAUUGUAUUGAAUCUCUAUAUGUUGUGUCUGUCUAGUUUUGGAUGCGAACACAACCUUGUUGUCUUACAUUAUGUAGAACUCUUCUGAACCAAAUUAUGUGGAAUUUUGUGUAGUUUUCUAAAUUUGAAGAAUCUUUUGAAG
Rosa chinensis is the source of this 861-nucleotide long non-coding RNA. RefSeq lists it as uncharacterized. NCBI's taxonomy places the organism in Eukaryota, Viridiplantae, Streptophyta, Magnoliopsida, Rosales, Rosaceae. The transcript has 2 exons. The record is from RefSeq and is a predicted model, not a curated record.